This 443-nucleotide ribosomal RNA is filed under the name uncultured bacterium. RNAcentral's name for it is "partial 16S ribosomal RNA". It matches the Rfam family "Bacterial small subunit ribosomal RNA", at positions 338 to 795 of the family's 1533-position model. The record is from RNAcentral.
CCUACGGUGGGCAGCAGUGGGGAAUAUUGGGCAAUGGGCGCAAGCCUGACCCAGCAACGCCGCGUGAAGGAAGAAGGCUUUCGGGUUGUAAACUUCUUUUCUCAGGGACGAAGCAAGUGACGGUACCUGAGGAAUAAGCCACGGCUAACUACGUGCCAGCAGCCGCGGUAAUACGUAGGUGGCAAGCGUUAUCCGGAUUUACUGGGUGUAAAGGGCGUGUAGGCGGGAAAGCAAGUCAGAUGUGAAAACCAUGGGCUCAACCUGUGGCCUGCAUUUGAAACUGUUUUUCUUGAGUACUGGGGAGGCAGACGGAAUUCCUAGUGUAGCGGUGAAAUGCGUAGAUAUUAGGAGGAACACCAGUGGCGAAGGCGGUCUGCUGGACAGCAACUGACGCUGAGGCGCGAAAGCGUGGGGAGCAAACAGGAUUAGAUACCCUGGUAGUU